This 25-nucleotide non-coding RNA is filed under the name Cricetulus griseus (Chinese hamster). Lineage: Eukaryota; Metazoa; Chordata; Mammalia; Rodentia; Cricetidae. The record is from RNAcentral.
AUGACUGGAAAGCAGGAUCCCUCAG